This 484-nucleotide ribosomal RNA is filed under the name uncultured bacterium. RNAcentral's name for it is "partial 16S ribosomal RNA". It matches the Rfam family "Bacterial small subunit ribosomal RNA", at positions 29 to 507 of the family's 1533-position model. The record is from RNAcentral.
AUUGAACGCUGGCGGCAGGCCUAACACAUGCAAGUCGAGCGGAUGAGGGGAGCUUGCUCCUGGAUUCAGCGGCGGACGGGUGAGUAAUGCCUAGGAAUCUGCCUGGCAGUGGGGGAUAACGUCCGGAAACGGGCGCUACUACCGCCUACGUCCUGCGGGUGCUGGUGGGGGGUGUUCGGACCUCACGCUCUGAGAUGAGCCUAGGUCGGACGAGCUAGUUGGUGGGGUAAAGGCCUGCCAAGGCGACGAUCGGUAACUGGUCUGCGAGGGUGAUAAGUCACACGGGAACUGAGACACGGACCAGACUCCUACGGGACGCAGCAGUGGGGAAUGGUGGACAAUGGGCGGAAGCCUGAUACAGCCAGGCGGCGUGUGAGGAGAAGGUCUUCGGAGUGUAAAGAACGUUAAGUGGGGAGAAAGGGCAUUAAGUUGAGACGUAGCUGUUUUGACGUUACCAACAGAAUAAGCACCGGCUAACUUCGUG